Molecule: ribosomal RNA, 254 nt
Filed under: uncultured bacterium
Lineage: Bacteria
Description: partial 16S ribosomal RNA
Rfam family: Bacterial small subunit ribosomal RNA
Source: RNAcentral
GACAUAGGUGGCAAGCGUUAUCCGGAAUUACUGGGCGUAAAGAGUGCGUAGGUGGUUCAAUAAGUUACUGGUGGGAAAUCGGGGCUCAACCUCGUGGAAGUCAGUAAUACUAUUAAACUAGAGGGUCGGAGAGGUUAACGGAAUUCUAUGUGUAGCGGUAAAAUGCUUAAAUAUAUAGAGGAACACCAAACGGCGAAGGCAGUUAACUAUUCGAUUCCUGACGUUGAGGCACGAAAGCGUGGGGAGCAAGACGG